This 26-nucleotide non-coding RNA is filed under the name Rattus norvegicus (Norway rat). The record is from RNAcentral. Lineage: Eukaryota; Metazoa; Chordata; Mammalia; Rodentia; Muridae.
UGAUAGCGACACAGAACAAAAAAAAA